This 336-nucleotide long non-coding RNA is filed under the name Sinocyclocheilus anshuiensis. Its description in RNAcentral is "lncRNA (ENSSANG00000050712.1)". Lineage: Eukaryota; Metazoa; Chordata; Actinopteri; Cypriniformes; Cyprinidae. The record is from RNAcentral.
CAGUAACUAAUUAUAUAAACAAUAAUACAACAUAAAAGGCGAUAAUUGCAGAAAGAACGAUCUUCACCAGUGGGCGGCGCUCUCGUCACAGCAAAGGGCGGGGCCUGUGUUAAUGGAGGCGGGGUCUAUCGUGAGUGGGCGUGUCUUCAUUGUGUGUCAUGUCUGCUUGUGUUUCUUCUUCUUCUUCUGCUGUGUUCUGUGGCGCCACGUUGAUCGAGCGAUCAUCAUCAGACCGCAGCGCUCCGCAUCGGAUCGGGUCAGGCAGACGCACGCGGCGCUGGUGGCACCGAGUCCUCAUGUAAGUAGCCCAUCCUCCACCGCUGCUUUCUUUAUCCU